This 496-nucleotide ribosomal RNA is filed under the name uncultured bacterium. RNAcentral's name for it is "partial 16S ribosomal RNA". It matches the Rfam family "Bacterial small subunit ribosomal RNA", at positions 29 to 507 of the family's 1533-position model. The record is from RNAcentral.
AUGCACGCUGGCGGCGUGCCUAAUACAUGCAAGUCGAGCGAACAGACGAGGAGCUUGCUCCCCUGACGUUAGCGGCGGACGGGUGAGUAACACGUGGAUAACCUACCUAUAAGACUGGGAUAACUUCGGGAAACCGGAGCUAAUACCGGAUAAUAUAUUGAACCGCAUGGUUCAAUAGUGAAAGACGGUUUUGCUGUCACUUAUAGAUGGAUCCGCGCCGCAUUAGCUAGUUGGUAAGGUAACGGCUUACCAAGGCAACGAUGCGUAGCCGACCUGAGAGGGUGAUCGGCCACACUGGAACUGAGACACGGUCCAGACUCCUACGGGAGGCAGCAGUAGGGAAUCUUCCGCAAUGGGCGAAAGCCUGACGGAGCAACGCCGCGUGAGUGAUGAAGGUCUUCGGAUCGUAAAACUCUGUUAUUAGGGAAGAACAAAUGUGUAAGUAACUAUGCACGUCUUGACGGUACCUAAUCAGAAAGCCACGGCUAACUACGUG